Molecule: ribosomal RNA, 498 nt
Filed under: uncultured Sphingobacteriales bacterium
Lineage: Bacteria; Pseudomonadati; Bacteroidota; Sphingobacteriia; Sphingobacteriales
Description: bacterial SSU rRNA
Rfam family: Bacterial small subunit ribosomal RNA
Source: RNAcentral
CCUUGCCAGCCCGCUCAGAAACUCAAAGGAAUUGACGGGACCCGCACAAGCGGUGGAUCAUGUUGUUAAUUCGAUGAUACGCGAAGAACCUUACCAGGUCUUGACAUCCCCCGCGAUGCUUUAGAGAUAAAGCGGAGGUAUUCGGGGAGACAGGUGGUGCAUGGUUGUCGUCAGCUCGUGCCGUGAGGUGUCGGGUUAAGUCCCAUAACGAGCGCAACCCCUAUCAUUAGUUGCCAUCAGGUCAAGCUGGGGACUCUAAUGAAACUGCCUACGCAAGUAGUGAGGAAGGUGGGGAUGACGUCAAAUCAGCACGGCCCUUACGUCCAGGGCUACACACGUGCUACAAUGGCCGAUACAGAGGGCAGCUACCUGGUGACAGGAUGCAAAUCUCCAAAGUCGGUCUCAGUUCGGAUCGGAGUCUGCAACCCGACUCCGUGAAGUUGGAUUCGCUAGUAAUCGCGCAUCAGCCAUGGCGCGGUGAAUACGUUCCCGGGCCUU